GGUUAAGCGACUAAGCGUACACGGUGGAUGCCCUGGCAGUCAGAGGCGAUGAAGGACGUGCUAAUCUGCGAAAAGCGUCGGUAAGGUGAUAUGAACCGUUAUAACCGGCGAUGUCCGAAUGGGGAAACCCAGUGCAAUUCGUUGCACUAUCGUUAACUGAAUACAUAGGUUAACGAGGCGAACCGGGGGAACUGAAACAUCUAAGUACCCCGAGGAAAAGAAAUCAACCGAGAUUCCCCCAGUAGCGGCGAGCGAACGGGGAGCAGCCCAGAGUCUGAAUCAGCUUGUGUGUUAGUGGAACGGUCUGGAAAGUCCGACGGUACAGGGUGAUAGUCCCGUACACCAAAAUGCACAGGCUGUGAACUCGAAGAGUAGGGCGGGACACGUGGUAUCCUGUCUGAAUAUGGGGGGACCAUCCUCCAAGGCUAAAUACUCCUGACUGACCGAUAGUGAACCAGUACCGUGAGGGAAAGGCGAAAAGAACCCCGGCGAGGGGAGUGAAAAAGAACCUGAAACCGUGUACGUACAAGCAGUGGGAGCACCUUCGGGUGUGACUGCGUACCUUUUGUAUAAUGGGUCAGCGACUUAUAUUCUGUAGCAAGGUUAACCGUAUAGGGGAGCCGCAGGGAAACCGAGUCUUAACUGGGCGUUAAGUUGCAGGGUAUAGACCCGAAACCCGGUGAUCUAGCCAUGGGCAGGUUGAAGGUUGGGUAACACUAACUGGAGGACCGAACCGACUAAUGUUGAAAAAUUAGCGGAUGACUUGUGGCUGGGGGUGAAAGGCCAAUCAAACCGGGAGAUAGCUGGUUCUCCCCGAAAGCUAUUUAGGUAGCGCCUCGUGAAUUCAUCUUCGGGGGUAGAGCACUGUUUCGGCUAGGGGGUCAUCCCGACUUACCAACCCGAUGCAAACUACGAAUACCGAAGAAUGUUAUCACGGGAGACACACGGCGGGUGCUAACGUCCGUCGUGAAGAGGGAAACAACCCAGACCGCCAGCUAAGGUCCCAAAGUCAUGGUUAAGUGGGAAACGAUGUGGGAAGGCACAGACAGCCAGGAUGUUGGCUUAGAAGCAGCCAUCAUUUAAAGAAAGCGUAAUAGCUCACUGGUCGAGUCGGCCUGCGCGGAAGAUGUAACGGGGCUAAACCAUGCACCGAAGCUGCGGCAGCGACACUAUGUGUUGUUGGGUAGGGGAGCGUUCUGUAAGCCUGCGAAGGUGUGCUGUGAGGCAUGCUGGAGGUAUCAGAAGUGCGAAUGCUGACAUAAGUAACGAUAAAGCGGGUGAAAAGCCCGCUCGCCGGAAGACCAAGGGUUCCUGUCCAACGUUAAUCGGGGCAGGGUGAGUCGACCCCUAAGGCGAGGCCGAAAGGCGUAGUCGAUGGGAAACAGGUUAAUAUUCCUGUACUUGGUGUUACUGCGAAGGGGGGACGGAGAAGGCUAUGUUAGCCGGGCGACGGUUGUCCCGGUUUAAGCAUGUAGGCUGGUUGUCCAGGCAAAUCCGGAUAAUCAAGGCUGAGGUGUGAUGACGAGGCACUACGGUGCUGAAGUAACAAAUGCCCUGCUUCCAGGAAAAGCCUCUAAGCAUCAGGUAACAUUAAAUCGUACCCCAAACCGACACAGGUGGUCAGGUAGAGAAUACCAAGGCGCUUGAGAGAACUCGGGUGAAGGAACUAGGCAAAAUGGUGCCGUAACUUCGGGAGAAGGCACGCUGGUGUGUAGGUGAAGUCCCUGCGGAUGGAGCUGAGACCAGUCGAAGAUACCAGCUGGCUGCAACUGUUUAUUAAAAACACAGCACUGUGCAAACACGAAAGUGGACGUAUACGGUGUGACGCCUGCCCGGUGCCGGAAGGUUAAUUGAUGGGGUUAUCCGUAAGGAGAAGCUCUUGAUCGAAGCCCCGGUAAACGGCGGCCGUAACUAUAACGGUCCUAAGGUAGCGAAAUUCCUUGUCGGGUAAGUUCCGACCUGCACGAAUGGCGUAAUGAUGGCCAGGCUGUCUCCACCCGAGACUCAGUGAAAUUGAACUCGCUGUGAAGAUGCAGUGUACCCGCGGCAAGACGGAAAGACCCCGUGAACCUUUACUAUAGCUUGACACUGAACAUUGAGCCUUGAUGUGUAGGAUAGGUGGGAGGCUUUGAAGCGUGGACGCCAGUCUGCGUGGAGCCAACCUUGAAAUACCACCCUUUAAUGUUUGAUGUUCUAACGUUGGCCCCUUAUCGGGGUUGCGGACAGUGUCUGGUGGGUAGUUUGACUGGGGCGGUCUCCUCCCAAAGCGUAACGGAGGAGCACGAAGGUUAGCUAAUCCUGGUCGGACAUCAGGAGGUUAGUGCAAUGGCAUAAGCUAGCUUGACUGCGAGCGUGACGGCGCGAGCAGGUGCGAAAGCAGGUCAUAGUGAUCCGGUGGUUCUGAAUGGAAGGGCCAUCGCUCAACGGAUAAAAGGUACUCCGGGGAUAACAGGCUGAUACCGCCCAAGAGUUCAUAUCGACGGCGGUGUUUGGCACCUCGAUGUCGGCUCAUCACAUCCUGGGGCUGAAGUAGGUCCCAAGGGUAUGGCUGUUCGCCAUUUAAAGUGGUACGCGAGCUGGGUUUAGAACGUCGUGAGACAGUUCGGUCCCUAUCUGCCGUGGGCGCUGGAGAAUUGAGGGGGGCUGCUCCUAGUACGAGAGGACCGGAGUGGACGCAUCACUGGUGUUCGGGUUGUCAUGCCAAUGGCACUGCCCGGUAGCUAAAUGCGGAAGAGAUAAGUGCUGAAAGCAUCUAAGCACGAAACUUGCCCCGAGAUGAGUUCUCCCUGAGACUUUAAGUCUCCUGAAGGAACGUUAAAGACGAUGACGUUGAUAGGCCGGGUGUGUAAGCGCAGCGAUGCGUUGAGCUAACCGGUACUAAUGAACCGUGAGGCUUAACCUU
Molecule: ribosomal RNA, 2902 nt
Filed under: Klebsiella pneumoniae
Lineage: Bacteria; Pseudomonadati; Pseudomonadota; Gammaproteobacteria; Enterobacterales; Enterobacteriaceae
Description: 23S ribosomal RNA
Rfam family: Bacterial large subunit ribosomal RNA
Source: RNAcentral